Molecule: ribosomal RNA, 253 nt
Filed under: uncultured bacterium
Lineage: Bacteria
Description: partial 16S ribosomal RNA
Rfam family: Bacterial small subunit ribosomal RNA
Source: RNAcentral
UACGAAGGGUGCAAGCGUUGUUCGGAAUUACUGGGUGUAAAGGGCGUGUAGGCGGAUUAGUUAGUUAGUGGUGAAAUCCUUGGGCUCAACCUGAGAACUGCCAUUGAUACAGCUAGUCUGGAGUAUUAGAGAGGAUGACGGAAUAUCCAGUGUAGAGGUGAAAUUCGUAGAUAUUGGAUAGAACACCGGUGGCGAAGGCGGUCAUCUGGCUAAUUACUGACGCUGAGGCGCGAGAGCGUGGGGAGCAAACAGG